GGCUCUGUGGCGCAAUGGAUAGCGCGUUGGACUUCUAAUUCAAAGGUUGUCGGUUCGAGUCCCACCAGAGUCGA
This 74-nucleotide transfer RNA is filed under the name Merluccius polli (Benguela hake). Its description in RNAcentral is "tRNA-Arg". It matches the Rfam family "tRNA". Rfam says of the family: Transfer RNA (tRNA) molecules are approximately 80 nucleotides in length. Their secondary structure includes four short double-helical elements and three loops (D, anti-codon, and T loops). The record is from RNAcentral. Lineage: Eukaryota; Metazoa; Chordata; Actinopteri; Gadiformes; Merlucciidae.